Tupaia belangeri chinensis (Chinese tree shrew) is the source of this 269-nucleotide long non-coding RNA. RefSeq lists it as uncharacterized. Lineage: Eukaryota; Metazoa; Chordata; Mammalia; Scandentia; Tupaiidae. The record is from RefSeq and is a predicted model, not a curated record. The transcript has 3 exons.
UUUUCUCACCUGUAAAACAGGGCUAAUGAUCAUGCCUUGGUCUUCAUGUCUGCAGCGGCAGCCACCCACGAGUCCAAAGAUGAUUCUUAAUUGCACCUGAAAGCAGCGACCUGGAGGUUAGCGCUCCCAGUGUGUAUGUACCUGCCGCUUAAAGUGCCGCUUUCAAAGGAACUGUUUGCUGGAAGCAAAUACCUUUGUCCCUCCCACUCCCUUAUGCAAGCAAGAGAAUGCUGCACCCAGAAUGUCUUGUUACAUAGCAACCUUACCCC